This 40-nucleotide transfer RNA is filed under the name Phrynosoma cornutum. Its description in RNAcentral is "partial tRNA-Gln". The record is from RNAcentral. Lineage: Eukaryota; Metazoa; Chordata; Lepidosauria; Squamata; Phrynosomatidae.
UUUGAGUCUUUGUGUGCAGGUUCAAGUCCUGUUCUUCUAA